CAGCUUAGAUAAUCGUUUUUUUUGUAUUGUCAUAGACGGCUGAGAGUAAGCAAGCCUUUUCUUACACGAAUAAUCCAUCUAUCUGUGCGUCAGUGCCGAAAUACCACAGAUACUAGCAUUACCCAGAUACUAGUAUAACACAGAUACUAGUAUAACACGGAUAAUAUUAUCUCCUCAUUGGUGAUUAUCAACACGGAUUGUUUACUUGAUGCACGUUCUGAAUAAACCCACACGUUCUGGAAGUACCUGUCUCCCUGUGUCUACUCAUCUGACCGUGAGCCUAUCCUUAGGCAUCUGUUCAACUUCACCAAAAGAACUAGUCUAGCCUGAAGAAGUCCCUGUCCUCUGUUACACUCUGGAGACUCCAGAGAACUGGAACGAUGUCUUCCUGCCACUCACCCCCGUAUUACCGACCUGGAUUUGAAGCGCCUGUAGGAAUCUGAAGCACUUUCACUGGACACCACAGUCUGGUUUGAUCUUCAGCUUAACCUGGCAUGACAUGGGCGCGAGUGUGUCUGCCAACAGACAAAAACAUCUUUUGAGAUCUGAAAGGAUGAAAACGGACUUGAAUACGCGUGCCUCUCAAAUAACAAAGAGCACAAAAAAUAGCUUCCUUCCUCAGUUUAAUUUGAAACUGCAAAAAAACUACAAAGCAAACUUUUUUUUUUUUUACUUAACCUUUAACGAUGUAUUCAUGAUUUAAACCAUCCUGUUUAGUUAUCUAUAAAGAGUAGAUCUUAAACUCGUUACAAACAUCUAUGUUGGUUGAAAGACUGCACACAUGGAGCAGAUAGGUUUCUAUCAGUUUUAUUAAUAGUACACAGGUGAGGAAACAUGUUUUAUAUCAUAAACACAUUUUAAACCAUAUGGUCUGUAACACAUAGGAUUGGUUUUACCAACAAUUACCAAUACUCUUAAACUACCUCAUUUAAGACAAGUUAAGGGCCCUUUCACACUGUGUAGGUUUCCCCUGGAAUUCCAUAACUGAGUACAUUUGGCAUUCAGUGUGAAAGCUCCAAACUUUCCCAGGCACGAUUAUAACAAACCAUACUGAAACCACCUGAGGGAGGUGGUCUCGGUACAGUUGCCUCUGUACUCAGUACGGUUCACUUAUUUUUGCUUCAGUGUGAAAGAGAAAUGUACUUGGUUCAAUUGCGAACAUAUCAAACUAUCAAGUGUACCAAACAGUAAUAUUCUUGGAAGCUGUUGCUACGUAAGUGGUAAAUCCAUGAGCAUUAAAUACUCCAGGCUUCGAGUUGCUGGAGCACUGAUAAAAAUACAUAAAUAAUAAUCAUAUAUCACUGGUUACUCCACACAGGCCCUGGUACUGUCCUGCCUUGACUACUGCAACUCCCUCCUGGCCGGCAUCCAAUUCAAAACUCUUGUACUCGCUGUCUUGACCAUUCACUCCCUCCUCUCUCCAAACUAUUAUUUCUCCCUACACAUCCUCUCGCCCCCUCUGCUCCUCCACCUCCGGCAGACUAGAUGUACCCACCCUCCGCUCCCCCGUCUCCAGAGUCCACUCCUUCUCCACCCUUGCCCCUCAGUGUUGGAACGACCUAUCCAUGGAUAUCAGGACUGCUCAGUCCCUGACCUCAAGACACACCUGUUACGACAGCAUCUGCAUACUAUAUCUUGUAUAUGAUUUUACUCAUAGGUAUCUGUACUCACGUUUUCUGUAAUUGCUCUUAUUUGAAAUCAUUCUCAUCCAUUUAUCAUACUUACUAUGUGUUCUUACUGGACUUUACUCAAAUAAGCAAAUAGUUACUAUAAGGUUUAACUGCACUUAGUCGAAUUUAUUCUUACUUAAGUUACUGUAUGCUUUAUUUUGCUCUUACUUGAAUUGAUUAUUGUAUUGUACUUUCAUAUCUGCUCUUAUCUGUAUUAGGAUAUUCUGUAAUGUGAUAUUUUAUAAUGUGAUACUUUGUACUAUGAUAACUUGUAACAAUUCUAAGUCGCCCUGGAUAAGGGA
Acipenser ruthenus (sterlet) is the source of this 1972-nucleotide long non-coding RNA. RefSeq lists it as uncharacterized. Lineage: Eukaryota; Metazoa; Chordata; Actinopteri; Acipenseriformes; Acipenseridae. The record is from RefSeq and is a predicted model, not a curated record. The transcript is spliced from 3 exons.